AUUGAACGCUGGCGGCAGGCCUAACACAUGCAAGUCGAGCGAGCGGCGGACGGGUGAGUAGUGUAUUAGGAUGUGCCCAAUAGAGGGGUAUGACUACGAGAAACCGUGGAUAAUACCGCAUAAUACGCUUUGGACCCAUGUGGGAUUAGCUAGUAGGUGGGGUAAAGGCUCACCUAGGCGACGAUCUCUAGCUGGUCUGAGAGGAUGAUCAGCCACACUGGGACUGAGACACGGCCCAGACUCCUACGGGAGGCAGCAGUGGGGAAUAUUGCACAAUGGGCGCAAGCCUGAUGCAGCCAUGCCGCGUGUAUGAAGAAGGUCUUAGGGUUGUAAAGUACUGUCAGCGGGGAGGCGUUACCCGCAGAAGAAGCAACGGCUAACUCCGUGCCAGCCGCCGCGGUAAUUC
RNAcentral lists this ribosomal RNA (406 nucleotides) under uncultured bacterium. Its description in RNAcentral is "partial 16S ribosomal RNA". It matches the Rfam family "Bacterial small subunit ribosomal RNA", at positions 30 to 526 of the family's 1533-position model. The record is from RNAcentral.